ACUAAGAUGAAACUUAUAAUUUUGAACAAUCAUGAUAUUUUUAUCCCUCUAAGAAGUCCUGAGUCC
This is a small nucleolar RNA of Gigantopelta aegis, 66 nucleotides long. RefSeq annotates it as small nucleolar RNA SNORD61. NCBI's taxonomy places the organism in Eukaryota, Metazoa, Mollusca, Gastropoda, Neomphalida, Peltospiridae. The record is from RefSeq and is a predicted model, not a curated record. The transcript has a single exon.